This 995-nucleotide long non-coding RNA is filed under the name Junco hyemalis (dark-eyed junco). Its description in RNAcentral is "lncRNA (ENSJHYG00000015446.1)". The record is from RNAcentral. Lineage: Eukaryota; Metazoa; Chordata; Aves; Passeriformes; Passerellidae.
CCCUUCCCUGUCCCGGAGCUGGAAACAGAAUCUGCCUAGAAGGCAAGCGAGCGGUUUCUCGGAGCCGCCGGGCUGGCUGCCUUCCAGCUUCAAAACCUGGCGGGGUGGGCGAUAAGGGAUGCCUGGUCCCGCCAGGGAGGAAGGUGGGAGCGCUACACCUCGCCUCCGGCCGGUGCUGCUGCUCCGGAAAGUACCAAUGGCAUCCAUCCACCCGGCCUUUGAUCCAUGGCAUCGGAAAAUUGGUGCAGGAUCACUUCCACCCCUUAAAGUCAUCUCUUGCUGGAACCAACAACCCUGCCAAAACCAAAGGAUGGUUCUGAUACUGAAAAUAAACCUAAAGCAUUAAAUGAAAAUCAGCGAAAACCACAUCCUAGCAGAAGUGAACUUGACUGGUGGGGCUUCCUGCAUAGCAGUGUCACUCUAGAUUACUGCACAGAAUUGAAAUGCUUGCACUGUUACAGAAUUGGUGACCAUAAACUUCAUUUAGCUCUCCGUGCCCCACACCUUACCUACGCUGAUGGUGGACAUGUGCCAAAAAGCUACCUUGAUAACCUAAAUAUUGUAAUUUAUACCAAACAUACAUAUUGCAGUGCAGCUACAGAACGACUGCAGAAGAAGCCAGAAGACGACCUGGGUUCUGCAGGGGAGCUGCAAACCAUGACUCGCUGAACAAAUCAAAGCCUUAACUUUGCAGGUUAUUCUGUGUGGGCAAUAGAUUGUACUAGUGUCAACAUCAAACAACUUGCAGGAUCAACACCCACCAGAGGAAGAGCUGUGUAACUAGUGACACCGAGGUGAAACUGAAACUGAGAAAAAUACCUUACUACCAAAUACAGAAGAAAGCAAUGUCAAAGGAAAACACUUACUCAGUUCUCUGAAAUGAUCACAUACUUUUCAUCAAAAUACCUGGAGGAAAGCCAAUACAGAACUGCUGGAGAAAGCACUGCAGAGAGAGCAUCACACUGUGUACUAAAUAAAAGAGUUGGUGUUGGGCA